Molecule: ribosomal RNA, 241 nt
Filed under: Salmonella enterica subsp. enterica serovar Infantis
Lineage: Bacteria; Pseudomonadati; Pseudomonadota; Gammaproteobacteria; Enterobacterales; Enterobacteriaceae
Also listed under: 7 other names
Description: partial 16S ribosomal RNA
Rfam family: Bacterial small subunit ribosomal RNA
Source: RNAcentral
CAUAAAGUGCGUCGUAGUCCGGAUUGGAGUCUGCAACUCGACUCCAUGAAGUCGGAAUCGCUAGUAAUCGUGGAUCAGAAUGCCACGGUGAAUACGUUCCCGGGCCUUGUACACACCGCCCGUCACACCAUGGGAGUGGGUUGCAAAAGAAGUAGGUAGCUUAACCUUCGGGAGGGCGCUUACCACUUUGUGAUUCAUGACUGGGGUGAAGUCGUAACAAGGUAACCGUAGGGGAACCUGC